Molecule: long non-coding RNA, 686 nt
Organism: Dipodomys ordii (Ord's kangaroo rat)
Lineage: Eukaryota; Metazoa; Chordata; Mammalia; Rodentia; Heteromyidae
Exons: 4
Source: RefSeq, a predicted model, not a curated record
CUCCUAUCAGCUUCCUGCUGCCCUUUCGCCUCUGGCCUGUAACGUGGUGGUUGCGUCUUGCGGUGCUCCGUACAUGUGCGGAGUAGCCAGCUGUGGAAUUCAGGCACAUGUGAGGGUGUCUUGAAAAUAGAGCACAUUUUCACCAUUUUAAAGAGAAACACUGGCAGGUGGACAAUGCACGUCGACUUAUCAGCAAAGGAACUUAUGCCCUGGUGAGUCUAAGAAGAAAUGUAAGAAGACAUUUAUUUGGGGUCAAGUGGUUCAUAUCUGUAGUCCUAGCACAUCCAAAGGAUAAUCAUUUGAAGCCAACUCAACAGAAGUCCUCAAGAUUCUCAUCUCCAAAACACCGACCAAAGAUCAGCCUGGAAACAUGGGUCAGGUGGUAGAAUGCAAGCCAAGCAAGUACAAAACCAUAUCAGCAAAAAUAUUAACACAAAACACCCAAAGUAGCUUUAAAGUCAUCACUACCCUUUCUCUAUCAUUCUUUUCCCAUACCGUGCUGUGAUGGAAACAAUUAGAUUGGCAGGAUAUACAAGCUGCCGAGCUGUCAUAGACAGAAGUUAACGAAAGAACCCUCAUUUUGUAGGGGGGAAAUAUUAAAGGUAAGUUGGGGACUAACUAAUAAGUACUAUUCUCAGUGCUCUCACCCCCUUUUUUGGUUACUGGUUAUGUAGGAAAGGGCUAAG